RNAcentral lists this ribosomal RNA (259 nucleotides) under uncultured bacterium. Its description in RNAcentral is "partial 16S ribosomal RNA". It matches the Rfam family "Bacterial small subunit ribosomal RNA", at positions 524 to 776 of the family's 1533-position model. The record is from RNAcentral.
UACGUAGGGUCCGAGCGUUUGUCCGGAAUUACUGGGCGUAAAGAGCUCGUAGGUGGUUUUGUCGCGUUGUUCGUGAAAAACUCACGAGCUUAACUGUGGGCGUGCGGGCGAUACGGGCAGACCUGAGUACUGCAGGGGAGACUGGAAUUCCUGGUGUAGCGGUGGAAUGCGCAGAUAUCAGGAGGAACACCGGUGGCGAAGGCGGGGUCUCUGGGCAGUAACUGACGCUGAGGAGGCGAAAGCGUGGGGAGCGAACAGG